GGAAGGAUCAUUAUUGAUUUUCAAGGGAUGUUGCUGGCUCCUCCCGGGGCAUGUGCACUCCUAACUAAAACCAAUAUCCACCUGUGCACCCUCAGUAGGCAAGAGAAGAACCCCCCUAACAAGGGCCUUUUUUUGUCUAUGUUUCUAUCACAAACGCUUGAUCUAUUUGAAUGCUAACACAACAAAUAAUAUUUGUAACACAACUUUCAACAAUGGAUCUCUUGGUUCUCGCAUCGAUGAAGAACGCAGCGAAUUGCGAUAUGUAAUGUGAAUUGCAGAAUUCAGUGAAUCAUCGAAUCUUUGAACGCACAUUGCACCCUCUGGUAUUCCGGAGGGUAUGCCUGUUUGAGUGUCAUGAAUACGUCAACACAGGCGAGUUUGUCAAGACUUGCUCUGCUGUUUGGAUGUUGAAGGCUUGCUGGCAUUGAUGUGUUCUGUCAGCUCCUUUUAAAUUCAUUAGCAGGAACCUUUGCAGGACUGGCUUCAGUUUGAUAAGAUUGAACUGUUGUUAGAAUGCGCUUUUGCUGUUCCGGCUUCUAAUUGUCUGGUAAAACUGGACUGUCUCGCUCUGAGACAUUUACAUUUGACAACUUGGCCUCAAAUCAGGUAGGACUACCCGCUGAACUUAAGCAUAUCAAUAAGCGGAGGAAAAGAAACUAACAAGGAUUCCCCCAGUAACUGCGAGUGAAGAGGGAAAAGCUCAAAUUUAAAAUCUGGCAGUCUUUGGCUGUCCGAGUUGUAAAUUAGAGAAGCGUUAUCCGCGCUGGCCGUGCAUAAGUCCCUUGGAAAAGGGCAUCAUAGAGGGUGACAAUCCCGUCUUCGGCACGGACUACCAGUGCUUCUGUGAUGCGCUCUCGAUGAGUCGAGUUGUUUGGGAAUGCAGCUCUAAAUGGGUGGUAAAUUCCAUCUAAAGCUAAAUAUUGGCGAGAGACCGAUAGCGCACAAGUACCGUGAGGGAAAGAUGAAAAGAACUUUGAAAAGAGAGUUAAACAGUACGUGAAAUUGUUGAAAGGGAAACGCUUGAAGUCAGUCGCAUCCUUCAGAAAUCAACCUGACUUAGGUCUCGUGCACUUUCUGCUUGGAUGGGUCAGCAUCAAUUUUGACCAUUGGACAAAGACCUUGGGAACGUGGCAUCUCCUGAUGUGUUAUAGCCCAGGGAUCACAUACAGUGGUUGGGAUUGAGGACAUCUCAGUGCUUGCACUGCAGGAUGCUGGCAUAAUGGCUUUAAUCGACCCGUCUUGAAACACGGACCAAGGAGUCUAACAUACAUGCGAGUGUUUGAGUGGAAAACUCGAGCGCGCAAUGAAAGUGAAAGUUGAGAACCCUGUCGUGGGGUGCAUCGACGCCCGGACCGUCACUUCUGUGGCAGACCUGCGGUAGAGCAUGCAUGUUGGGACCCGAAAGAUGGUGAACUAUGCCUGAAUAGGGUGAAGCCAGAGGAAACUCUGGUGGAAGCUCGUAGCGAUUCUGACGUGCAAAUCGAUCGUCGAAUUUGGGUAUAGGGGCGAAAGACUAAUCGAACCAUCUAGUAGCUGGUUCCCGC
RNAcentral lists this unclassified non-coding RNA (1544 nucleotides) under uncultured fungus. RNAcentral describes it as "sequence contains 18S rRNA gene, ITS1, 5.8S rRNA gene, ITS2, 28S rRNA gene". The stretch from base 593 to 1544 matches the Rfam family "Eukaryotic large subunit ribosomal RNA", at positions 1 to 961 of the family's 3401-position model. The record is from RNAcentral. Lineage: Eukaryota; Fungi.